Molecule: long non-coding RNA, 400 nt
Organism: Sinocyclocheilus rhinocerous
Lineage: Eukaryota; Metazoa; Chordata; Actinopteri; Cypriniformes; Cyprinidae
Exons: 5
Source: RefSeq, a predicted model, not a curated record
GUCAUCUUCAAAUCCACUUCAACAUGCAGUUGUCUGUGGAGUACAUCAUGUCUUGGGAGCUCCCUUUGAUUUUACAUCUUGUGACAUUCCAAUCAUACGGAGAUGGUGGACUCCAGAUGGUUUUCUCUGAAAGUGCAGAAACCCUACCAGAGGCACUUCCAAUUGGAUAACAGGCUACACUUGUGAGGAGAUCCCAGUAAUCUCACAGAAGUUGUGAAAUGGCUCCAUUAAACAAACAUCUGCUCAGGGGGCCAGGAAGAGCCUCUUUUCCUUAUAAUGGAGAAAGAGGACAAGGAAAAGACCCUCAACAAUCUCCUGGAACAGAAGUUUCCAGAGUGCCCUUUAUAUUUCAUCUUGUGUCCAGGGGAGUUAUUUUUGUAGGAUUGUCACGACAAAAUGU